Molecule: ribosomal RNA, 253 nt
Filed under: uncultured bacterium
Lineage: Bacteria
Description: partial 16S ribosomal RNA
Rfam family: Bacterial small subunit ribosomal RNA
Source: RNAcentral
UACGUAGGUGGCGAGCGUUGUCCGGAUUUACUGGGCGUAAAGCGCGUGUAGGCGGCUCUUCAAGUCAGACGUGAAAGCCCCGGGCUUAACUCGGGAACUGCGUUUGAUACUGUCGAGCUAGAGUGUGGAAGGGGCGAUUGGAAUUCCGUGUGUAGCGGUGAAAUGCGUAGAUAUACGGAGGAACACCAGGGGCGAAGGCGGAUCGCUGGGCCAACACUGACGCUGAGACGCGAAAGCUAGGGGAGCAAACGGG